GUCCUUUAGAAUAUGAUUUAAGGUCUAAUCUGCUCAAUGAAUAAUUAAAUAGCCGCAGUAUUUUAACUGUGCGAAGGUAGCGUGAUAAUUAGUUUCUUAAUUAGAAACUUGUAUGAAUGAUUUGACAAGAAAAUUUCUGUCUCUUUUUAAUUAUUUAUGAAUUUAACUUUUAAGUUAAAAGGCUUAAAUUUAUGUAAAAGACGAGAAGACCCCAUAGAGUUUAAUUUUUAAAUAUUUUUAGUAUUACAUAGAAUUAUAAAAAAUUAGUUGGGGUAACUUAAAGAUUAAUUAAAUUCUUUAAAUAUAAAAUCAUUGAUUUGUGAAUUUAAAAUCUAAAUUAUUAAAUUUAAAUAAAGUUACCUUGGGGAUAACAGCGUAAUUUCUUUUUAGAGUUCUUAUCAAAUAAGAAGAUUGCGACCUCGAUGUUGGAUUAAAAUUAAAUUUAGGUGCAAAAGCUUAAAUAUUGAGUCUGUUCGACUUUUAAAAUUUUACA
RNAcentral lists this ribosomal RNA (493 nucleotides) under Photinus macdermotti. Its description in RNAcentral is "partial 16S ribosomal RNA". It matches the Rfam family "Bacterial large subunit ribosomal RNA", at positions 1829 to 2600 of the family's 2925-position model. Lineage: Eukaryota; Metazoa; Arthropoda; Insecta; Coleoptera; Lampyridae. The record is from RNAcentral.